Non-coding RNA from Mycena latifolia, 97 nucleotides. The record is from the annotation of a GenBank genome assembly. NCBI's taxonomy places the organism in Eukaryota, Fungi, Basidiomycota, Agaricomycetes, Agaricales, Mycenaceae.
GGCUUGGUGGUGGAAUGGUUCACAUCUGCAUCCGAUAAAGUAGUGGUAAGCGCGCUUGCUUAUGCAAAAGUAGCCUGUUCGAUUCGGGUCCAAGCCA